This is a long non-coding RNA of Acanthochromis polyacanthus (spiny chromis), 1099 nucleotides long. RefSeq lists it as uncharacterized. Lineage: Eukaryota; Metazoa; Chordata; Actinopteri; Pomacentridae. The record is from RefSeq and is a predicted model, not a curated record. The transcript is spliced from 3 exons.
GACAGGUUGUGUUUGUAGAGGACAGGUCAUGUUUGUAGAGGACAGGUCGUGUUUGUAGAGGACAGGUCGUGUUUGUAGAGGACAGGUCAUGUUUGUAGAGGACAGGUUGUGUUUGUAGAGGACAAGCCGUCUUAGUAGAGGACAGGUUGUGUUUGUAGAGGACAGGUCAUCUUAGUAGAGGACAGGUUGUGUUUGUAGAGGACAGGUCGUGUUUGUAGAGGACAGGUCAUGUUUGUAGAGGACAGGUUGUGUUUGUAGAGGACAAGCCGUCUUAGUAGAGGACAGGUUGUGUUUGUAGAGGACAGGUCAUCUUAGUAGAGGACAGGUCGUGUUUGUAGAGGACAGGUCAUGUUUGUAGAGGACAGGUUGUGUUUGUAGAGGACAAGCCGUCUUAGUAGAGGACAGGUUGUGUUUGUAGAGGACAGGUCAUCUUAGUAGAGGACAGGUUGUGUUUGUAGAGGACAGGUCGUGUUUGUAGAGGACAGGUCAUGUUUGUAGAGGACAGGUUGUGUUUGUAGAGGACAAGCCGUCUUAGUAGAGGACAGGUUGUGUUUGUAGAGGACAGGUCAUCUUAGUAGAGGACAGGUUGUGUUUGUAGAGGACAGGUUGUGUUUGUAGAGGACAGGUUGUGUUUGUAGAGGACAGGUCAUGUUUGUAGAGGACAGGUUGUGUUUGUAGAGGACAAGCCGUCUUAGUAGAGGACAGGUUGUGUUUGUAGAGGACAGGUUGUGUUAUUAGAGGACAGGUUGUGUUUGUAGAGGACAGGUUGUGUUAUUAGAGGACAGGUCAUGUUUGUAGAGGACAGGUUGUGUUUGUAGAGGACAGGUUGUGUUAUUAGAGGACAGGUUGUGUUUGUAGAGGACAGGUUGUGUUUGUAGAGGACAGGUCAUGUUUGUAGAGGACAGGUUGUGUUUGUAGAGGACAGGUUGUGUUAUUAGAGGACAGGUUGUGUUUGUAGAGGACAGGUUGUGUUAUUAGAGGACAGGUCAUGUUUGUAGAGGACAGGUUGUGUUUGUAGAGGACAGGUUGUGUUAUUAGAGGACAGGUUGUGUUUGUAGAGGACAGGUUGUGUUUGUAGAGGACAGGUUGUGUUUGUAGA